UGUUCUAUGGUGUAAUGGUAACACGUCAGAUUCUGGUCCUGAAAUUCCAGGUUCGAGCCUGGUAGAACAACAA
This 73-nucleotide transfer RNA is filed under the name Parabacteroides sp. AM58-2XD. RNAcentral's name for it is "tRNA-Gln". It matches the Rfam family "tRNA". From Rfam's summary of the family: Transfer RNA (tRNA) molecules are approximately 80 nucleotides in length. Their secondary structure includes four short double-helical elements and three loops (D, anti-codon, and T loops). Lineage: Bacteria; Pseudomonadati; Bacteroidota; Bacteroidia; Bacteroidales; Tannerellaceae. The record is from RNAcentral.